CCCUUAGAUGUUCUGGGCCGCACGCGCGCUACACUGAUGCAUUCAACGAGCCUAUCCUUGACCGACAGGUCCGGGUAAUCUUUGAAUCUGCAUCGUGACGGGGAUAGAUUAUUGCAAUUAUUAAUCUUCAACGAGGAAUGCCUAGUAGGCGCAAGUCAUCAGCUUGCGUCGAUUACGUCCCUGCCCUUUGUACACACCGCCCGUCGCUCCUACCGAUUGGGUGUGCUGGUGAAAUGUUCGGAUCGGCCGUUUGUCGCGGUUUCCGCGGCUCGUGGCUAAGAAGUUCAUUAAACCCUCCCACCUAGAGGAAGGAGAAGUCGUAACA
RNAcentral lists this ribosomal RNA (325 nucleotides) under uncultured eukaryote. Its description in RNAcentral is "partial 18S ribosomal RNA". It matches the Rfam family "Eukaryotic small subunit ribosomal RNA", at positions 1470 to 1796 of the family's 1831-position model. The record is from RNAcentral.